This 649-nucleotide ribosomal RNA is filed under the name Salmonella enterica subsp. enterica serovar Bovismorbificans. RNAcentral's name for it is "partial 23S ribosomal RNA". It matches the Rfam family "Bacterial large subunit ribosomal RNA", at positions 2261 to 2904 of the family's 2925-position model. The record is from RNAcentral. Lineage: Bacteria; Pseudomonadati; Pseudomonadota; Gammaproteobacteria; Enterobacterales; Enterobacteriaceae.
GUGGGUAGUUUGACUGGGGCGGUCUCCUCCUAAAGAGUAACGGAGGAGCACGAAGGUUGGCUAAUCCUGGUCGGACAUCAGGAGGUUAGUGCAAUGGCAUAAGCCAGCUUGACUGCGAGCGUGACGGCGCGAGCAGGUGCGAAAGCAGGUCAUAGUGAUCCGGUGGUUCUGAAUGGAAGGGCCAUCGCUCAACGGAUAAAAGGUACUCCGGGGAUAACAGGCUGAUACCGCCCAAGAGUUCAUAUCGACGGCGGUGUUUGGCACCUCGAUGUCGGCUCAUCACAUCCUGGGGCUGAAGUAGGUCCCAAGGGUAUGGCUGUUCGCCAUUUAAAGUGGUACGCGAGCUGGGUUUAGAACGUCGUGAGACAGUUCGGUCCCUAUCUGCCGUGGGCGCUGGAGAACUGAGGGGGGCUGCUCCUAGUACGAGAGGACCGGAGUGGACGCAUCACUGGUGUUCGGGUUGUCAUGCCAAUGGCACUGCCCGGUAGCUAAAUGCGGAAGAGAUAAGUGCUGAAAGCAUCUAAGCACGAAACUUGCCCCGAGAUGAGUUCUCCCUGAGACUUUAGGUCUCCUGAAGGAACGUUGAAGACGACGACGUUGAUAGGCCGGGUGUGUAAGCGCAGCGAUGCGUUGAGCUAACCGGUACUAA